RNAcentral lists this ribosomal RNA (468 nucleotides) under uncultured bacterium. RNAcentral describes it as "partial 16S ribosomal RNA". It matches the Rfam family "Bacterial small subunit ribosomal RNA", at positions 28 to 507 of the family's 1533-position model. The record is from RNAcentral.
GACGAACGCUGGCGGCGUGCUUAACACAUGCAAGUCGAACGGAAAGGCCCUGCUUUUGUGGGGUGCUCGAGUGGCGAACGGGUGAGUAACACGUGAGUAACCUGCCCUUGACUUUGGGAUAACUUCAGGAAACUGGGGCUAAUACCGGAUAGGAGCUCCUGCUGCAUGGUGGGGGUUGGAAAGUUUCGGCGGUUGGGGAUGGACUCGCGGCUUAUCAGCUUGUUGGUGGGGUAGUGGCUUACCAAGGCUUUGACGGGUAGCCGGCCUGAGAGGGUGACCGGCCACAUUGGGACUGAGAUACGGCCCAGACUCCUACGGGAGGCAGCAGUGGGGAAUAUUGCACAAUGGGCGGAAGCCUGAUGCAGCAACUCCGCGUGCGGGAUGACGGCCGUCGGGUUGUAAACCGCUUUCGCCUGUGACGAAGCGUGAGUGACGGUAAUGGGUAAAGAAGCACCGGCUAACUACGUG